AAGCCACAGCAAUUACACCAUUAAUCAACAUAACAAUAUUAUCAGGCAUGAUUUAACCAAUGCACAAGCACAGUACAGUGCUAUAAUUUAAAUUGCCAAAUAACACCCUGGAUAUGUUUAAGAAUUGUAACAGUAUUAUAACUUAUUACUUACACUCUCAUGGAUGCAGUCAGAGGACGGAGCAAUCAACAAAAAAGGAGAAGCAAGAGUCCAGAAAACACAGCUGCAGGAUUGCAAAUAUCCAGGGACGGGUGAGGGGACCAGCGGGAAGCCCAGCGCUGCUACUUGGCCCUGGUUAGUCCUCAUGGAUGAGGUGUUAGGGCAGAGGCCUUCCAUUGCCCCCCCCCGUCCUAAUUGGAGGACACACCGGGGCCAAGUGCCGCUGCGGCUGACCAGGUGGUGGUGGAGGAUGAGGAUGAUGAAGAGGUGGUGGUGGAGGAGGACGAAAGUCAGCCAGGGCCGUCCAGAAAGCGGAGGAGGGAGGACGAACUCGUCUCCCUCAUCAGGGAGGACAUGAGGCUCCAGAGAGAGGCAGAGGAGAGGCGGGAGCGAGAGAGCGCAGCCUGCAUGGAGAAGCUGCUGGAGAGAAUGCCGGAUCGUUGAGUCUCUUUUUCUUUCUCUACUGUUAUAUAUUAAAGUUUCAUUAUAAUUUACGGGUGUUAUUUAUUUUUAAUGAUUGUUCAUAUGAUUUCAUUUUUCAUACAUUAAAAUAUGUUCUUGUUA
This is a long non-coding RNA of Acanthopagrus latus (yellowfin seabream), 723 nucleotides long. RefSeq lists it as uncharacterized. Lineage: Eukaryota; Metazoa; Chordata; Actinopteri; Spariformes; Sparidae. The transcript has 2 exons. The record is from RefSeq and is a predicted model, not a curated record.